CCUACGGGAGGCACCAGUGGGGAAUAUUGCACAAUGGGCGCAAGCCUGAUGCAGCCAUGCCGCGUGUAUGAAGAAGGCCUUCGGGUUGUAAAGUACUUUCAGAGGGGAGGAAGGCGGUGAGGUUAAUAACCUCACCGAUUGACGUUACCCGCAGAAGAAGCACCGGCUAACUCCGUGCCAGCAGCCGCGGUAAUACGGAGGGUGCAAGCGUUAAUCGGAAUUACUGGGCGUAAAGCGCACGCAGGCGGUCUGUCAAGUCGGAUGUGAAAUCCCCGGGCUCAACCUGGGAACUGCAUUCGAAACUGGCAGGCUAGAGUCUUGUAGAGGGGGGUAGAAUUCCAGGUGUAGCGGUGAAAUGCGUAGAGAUCUGGAGGAAUACCUGUGGCGAAGGCGGCCCCCUGGACAAAGACUGACGCUCAGGUGCGAAAGCGUGGGGAGCAAACAGGAUUAGAUACCCUCGUAGUC
This 465-nucleotide ribosomal RNA is filed under the name uncultured bacterium. Its description in RNAcentral is "bacterial SSU rRNA". It matches the Rfam family "Bacterial small subunit ribosomal RNA", at positions 338 to 795 of the family's 1533-position model. The record is from RNAcentral.